RNAcentral lists this long non-coding RNA (3256 nucleotides) under Sorghum bicolor (sorghum). RNAcentral's name for it is "long non-coding RNA (SBIC_LNC017674)". Lineage: Eukaryota; Viridiplantae; Streptophyta; Magnoliopsida; Poales; Poaceae. The record is from RNAcentral.
GGGUUUGCAACCAUCACUUAUGUCUUGAGCAGUUAAAAGAUAGAACGGUCAAGUCAAGCACCAUGUCUCUUGUUCUUUGAUCAACUAUAGUUCUGGAGUUUUUGCAGAUUUUCAAAUAAAACUCAGACAUUCCUUGUAUGACUCUCUCUAGUCUCUCUUUCGUGGUAUUUCUGGAUCCUUACCUAGGCAGUGAUGAUAUAUGCCUUCUCUCAAAGUAUGUGGUAUUUGUGGUAUGAGGCAUAAUGAUAUUGCCUUCUCUCUCACCCUACUCUAACAAGGUUUGAUAUCUAGAGCUCAUAGGUGGGAGACAACUGAUACAUACUUACAAGACAUUUAUUGCAUAGUCAAACCAUGGAUCUAGAGAAACAAGUCAAUAAGUCAAAUCAAGAUGUGCAUGUGUGGUGAAUGAAUGGUGUAUGGUGAUGAUGGUGAUAAUGGUGAAAACAUUGGUGAAAGUCUAAUUCUACUUUUGCUCUGUUGAGGGGAUACAUACCUUUCUUGCACUUUGAAGCUUUUUGAAGGGAAUGAGAUGCUCUAUAUUUUCUUUUUUUUCUUAUCUCUCAGGUGGGUAUCUUGUACCCCUAAUUCUACUGUCGGACACUUGUCCAUUUUUACCUCUCGUCUCACUUUUUCUUUUCUUCGAGGUUUCGGGCACUUGCCCCUUUUUAUUUCCUCGUAUUCACUCUUUUUUUUCAGAGCACUCACCCUCCUGGAAUAAUGUAGCAAGUGGAAGUAAACAAAAUAUCUCGAGCAUUUAUUUCAUGGGGAAUAACAGGGAUAGGAUAAUGUUUUUGGCUAUUCUCUCCUGGAUAGGAGUAGAAUAAUUUUAGGUGAAUCUAGAGAUGGAAAGGAGUGGAUGUAUGUGGAUGCGUACUUCCGGAGUAGAAGCAGCAUGUAUGAGUGAACGUGCAAGUGAAUCUUGAUUUUAACCGCAUGACAAGCUCCUAAGGGUCUACACAGCUUGACCACACUCAAUGCUCAUAAGCAGUAAAACGUAAAUGUAUGGUUCAUAGUCUAAUAAGCAUGUAUAUAUGGCUGUGGUAGGAUUUUAAACUCUCAUCAUAUAGGAACUCAUCAUGCAACAUUUUAAAGAUUUUCAAAGAUAAACUUCUCCAGAAUUCUAGCAUCUCUAGGAACAGAUAAACAGCAGCUCAACCUUCCCAUAUCAUAUCCGUUAACGACUUAGACUUUAGAUCAAGUACUCUUCCCACAAGUUCAGGUUUAGAGCAAAUCUUAAUUUACAACAGUCAUGCCAAAACUUGAGAGAGAUUUCAAUUUUGAGAACUAAUCAUGGCAGAGCAACUAUUCAUCAUUUCCAUGUGAGAGCUUAUCAUGACGGUUCAUAGCAAACUUUAUUUAUUUAUUUAUUUAGCAAACUAAGAAAAGAUAUAUAUAAGCAUAAAAUCUUUAUUUGGGUUUUUAUGAUUAUGCAUCUUUUUAUCAUUUGAGUAAAUGGGGGUGCUCUCCCCCAAGCUGGAUUUUGAUGUAAUUUCUUCUGAUGUAGCUAGUUGGUGGCGGAGGUGUAUUUGAAUGUCGGCAGCACCCUGACAGUGAUUAGGAUGUCCUCCGUCUGCUAGUCUUCUUUGAUCCUUGAAUUCUGUGGAGCUCAAAUAGACAACAAAUCUUUGUGGAACUGGUUAAGUGUUAGCAUAAAAUCUCUUCACCUUUAUCAUGUUGAGCUUCCUCUAAUAAAUAUUACUCUCUUUAGUAGGAUCAUAAAUUUUUUUUUUAUAUUUUCAUUUUUGUAGGACAGGAAUAUAUUUAUUUUAUUUUUACGCCACAACAGUGAAUGCACUUAUGGAUUUCAUGCUACGAGCAUACUCACAUGGGGCUCACUAUUUUUACGUCUGAGUGCGUUUGUGCUCGUAGAUCCAGGUCCUUCACUUGGUAGAGACUAGGAGUUGGAAAACUCCUCCAUGUUUUGCUCGAAGUGUACCUACUAAUAGAGACAAGGCAGAGAUCAAGUGCAUGGGUCCUGUUGGUAGAAAACACCAACAAAACCAAAAGUGUAUUUGUUCUUCUCUAACCUUAAGCAUAGCGAGCAAGACAAAGUUGAUGAAUGAUAUGUUCAUGAGUGUAGCAUUUAAAACAUUUCUCAGAUCAGAUCGCUCAACCUUAUGGAAAGAUAAUCUAUCUAUGUAUAUGUCUUUUUCUUUAUAUCUCUCAAAGAUUGAAUGUGUAACAUUUUUGCUCAUAUGAUUAGGAGUGUGAGAUCAUGGAGGUAGUACUAGGAAUAAAGAUUAAAGGACUAAACAUGUUGAAUCAGUUGGGUUGGUUAAUUUGAAGUUAUAAAUCAUACAUGUUUGUCUCUUUUAUUCAUAUGAACGGCAGAACCAAGGAGAAGCUUAUAAAAGUGAUAAUCAAGUACCUUAAGAUGUUACCUUACUUGAAGAGUGAUGGUACAGUAUCACCUUGUGGAAGCUUUCCUUUCUUAGCGGUUGUUCAUCGUGUUCGUGGCACCCUCCAUGGAUCAUCUCUUAUGAGCUACGUCUUCCUUGUGUAAAUUGUUAAACUUCAUGUGUCUCUCUCUUUGUCUCAAAUGUGAGUUUAUCUCAGGACUUCCCAGGUUGAUAUUGAAAGUUUUCCUGUAGGGGUUAUUCUGACAAAAUAUACCAAUAUCUACUCAAGCAGUGUUUAGUUCAGUAACCAAACUAGACUCCAUGUCUAAUCAGAUUAAGGAAGGCUAUUUAACCUAAGCACCAUGCUUAAUUUAAAUGCCAAUGGAAGUAUGUCGAGUACUUCCAAACCAACACUUGCUAGUAAAUAGACAAAGGUAGUAUGACAGCAUUUAUAGAGAUACUCAAGUGGAGAUGAAGUAGUGUGAUUAGUAUUUAACAAAUUGAGCAUGUCUCAAAGGUAGGGACAACCAACAUAGCAACAUGGCAAAGGAUGUUUUUAUGUAAAGUACUCCCCCAAGCUUGAAUUUUGCAAAAUUCAAGUUUGGAUGAAUUUAAUUCAAUGUUGUAUGAAGAUUGGUUGGACAUACCUUGUGCUUGUCUUUCAUCCGAUCUCCUUGCUGCAAUCCUGGAAAGGUUUGUGACAAGAAUACCCGAAGGAAUAUUUUUACAAUUAUCCUUAUAUGAUCAAUACACAAGGUAAUGUUGUAAAUAACUAAAAGCUCAUGUUACGAUCUGAUCAGUGCUUAUUUUAAGACACUAAGCUUGUCCUUGGGAAACCAUCAAUUUAUGUCGGCGAAGUGGUUUCCCUUCCAAUCGCUGACCUAUAUCAACUCAACGAGAUCUGCAAUAUUUAUUAU